UGGAAGAAAAAUGUGAAGGUUCCUCUCCACUAGUUAUACUUUUGCCAGAAUGACUGAGUACGUACUGAGCUUGAACACAUACAACUGCUGUCUAAUCUCAAUAUGGAGAAAGUACUGAGCUCGAACACAUACAACUGCUGUCUAAUCUCAAUAUAGAGACCCCACUCGAACUUUCUUACCUUUCUGCCUUUAUCCAUCAUACUCUCAGGGGAAUAGCGGCCUAACUCUAGGAACUUUCAGGUAUAUUCUGACACAGUCAUAUCACAUUGGACCAGGUGCGUAAACUCCAUUUCCUUCAAAUGUUGG
This 306-nucleotide long non-coding RNA is filed under the name Carica papaya (papaya). RNAcentral's name for it is "long non-coding RNA (CPAP_LNC003340)". The record is from RNAcentral. Lineage: Eukaryota; Viridiplantae; Streptophyta; Magnoliopsida; Brassicales; Caricaceae.